RNAcentral lists this ribosomal RNA (1767 nucleotides) under Salmonella enterica. RNAcentral's name for it is "partial 23S ribosomal RNA". It matches the Rfam family "Bacterial large subunit ribosomal RNA", at positions 1185 to 2925 of the family's 2925-position model. The record is from RNAcentral. Lineage: Bacteria; Pseudomonadati; Pseudomonadota; Gammaproteobacteria; Enterobacterales; Enterobacteriaceae.
AACCAUGCACCGAAGCUGCGGCAGCGACACUCAGGUGUUGUUGGGUAGGGGAGCGUUCUGUAAGCCUGCGAAGGUGGCCUGUGAGGGUUGCUGGAGGUAUCAGAAGUGCGAAUGCUGACAUAAGUAACGAUAAAGCGGGUGAAAAGCCCGCUCGCCGGAAGACCAAGGGUUCCUGUCCAACGUUAAUCGGGGCAGGGUGAGUCGACCCCUAAGGCGAGGCCGAAAGGCGUAGUCGAUGGGAAACGGGUUAAUAUUCCCGUACUUGGUGUUACUGCGAAGGGGGGACGGAGAAGGCUAUGUUGGCCGGGCGACGGUUGUCCCGGUUUAAGCGUGUAGGUGUGUGUUCCAGGUAAAUCCGGUUCACUUUAACACUGAGGCGUGAUGACGAGGCACUACGGUGCUGAAGCAACAAAUGCCCUGCUUCCAGGAAAAGCCUCUAAGCAUCAGGUAACAUCAAAUCGUACCCCAAACCGACACAGGUGGUCAGGUAGAGAAUACCAAGGCGCUUGAGAGAACUCGGGUGAAGGAACUAGGCAAAAUGGUGCCGUAACUUCGGGAGAAGGCACGCUGACACGUAGGUGAAGUGAUUUACUCAUGGAGCUGAAGUCAGUCGAAGAUACCAGCUGGCUGCAACUGUUUAUUAAAAACACAGCACUGUGCAAACACGAAAGUGGACGUAUACGGUGUGACGCCUGCCCGGUGCCGGAAGGUUAAUUGAUGGGGUCAGCGCAAGCGAAGCUCCUGAUCGAAGCCCCGGUAAACGGCGGCCGUAACUAUAACGGUCCUAAGGUAGCGAAAUUCCUUGUCGGGUAAGUUCCGACCUGCACGAAUGGCGUAAUGAUGGCCAGGCUGUCUCCACCCGAGACUCAGUGAAAUUGAACUCGCUGUGAAGAUGCAGUGUACCCGCGGCAAGACGGAAAGACCCCGUGAACCUUUACUAUAGCUUGACACUGAACAUUGAGCCUUGAUGUGUAGGAUAGGUGGGAGGCUUUGAAGUGUGGACGCCAGUCUGCAUGGAGCCGACCUUGAAAUACCACCCUUUAAUGUUUGAUGUUCUAACGUGGACCCGUGAUCCGGGUUGCGGACAGUGUCUGGUGGGUAGUUUGACUGGGGCGGUCUCCUCCUAAAGAGUAACGGAGGAGCACGAAGGUUGGCUAAUCCUGGUCGGACAUCAGGAGGUUAGUGCAAUGGCAUAAGCCAGCUUGACUGCGAGCGUGACGGCGCGAGCAGGUGCGAAAGCAGGUCAUAGUGAUCCGGUGGUUCUGAAUGGAAGGGCCAUCGCUCAACGGAUAAAAGGUACUCCGGGGAUAACAGGCUGAUACCGCCCAAGAGUUCAUAUCGACGGCGGUGUUUGGCACCUCGAUGUCGGCUCAUCACAUCCUGGGGCUGAAGUAGGUCCCAAGGGUAUGGCUGUUCGCCAUUUAAAGUGGUACGCGAGCUGGGUUUAGAACGUCGUGAGACAGUUCGGUCCCUAUCUGCCGUGGGCGCUGGAGAACUGAGGGGGGCUGCUCCUAGUACGAGAGGACCGGAGUGGACGCAUCACUGGUGUUCGGGUUGUCAUGCCAAUGGCACUGCCCGGUAGCUAAAUGCGGAAGAGAUAAGUGCUGAAAGCAUCUAAGCACGAAACUUGCCCCGAGAUGAGUUCUCCCUGAGACUUUAGGUCUCCUGAAGGAACGUUGAAGACGACGACGUUGAUAGGCCGGGUGUGUAAGCGCAGCGAUGCGUUGAGCUAACCGGUACUAAUGAACCGUGAGGCUUAACCUUACA